Long non-coding RNA from Aethalodelphis obliquidens (Pacific white-sided dolphin), 2355 nucleotides. RefSeq lists it as uncharacterized. The record is from RefSeq and is a predicted model, not a curated record. The transcript has 5 exons. NCBI's taxonomy places the organism in Eukaryota, Metazoa, Chordata, Mammalia, Artiodactyla, Delphinidae.
AGGUCCCCUCCUCAAACCACAGCAGUAGCAGUGGCCCCUAGGACAAGCCCCUCUCCCCUCUCUGGGGCCUCCCAUCAGGACAGUCUCUCCACAUGGACUUAUUUCCACACUCCUCCAAUCUGAGGUCAUUUCCGCUUCUCCAGGCAGCACAAGGGAAGAGGAGGUGACAUGGCAAAGGGAAGGUUUGGAAGGAGCCGCGGUGAUCCCAUGGCUCUGGCAGAUUCCAUCUCAUGGUCCUCAAGAAGACGGAAAACUCAGAAUCCUGGUGGACGACCCUCAGGCCUUGAACCUGCCUGGGGAGCACUGGCUUUCUGCGAAGACUCUACUGCUGCAGCCAUCCUGUGAACCAAGCCAAGGCCCCCCUCCCUGGGCUGCCACCUCCUUGGAGGUGCGGUGCAGAGGAGAAGCAAAAGGUGCAUCUCUGGAUCUUGGGGAGCAAAGGAAGCCCAGCACCCAAAAGAUGAAUCAUCCAGGUCCCUGGCAGCAGAGGACUCACUACGCACCAGGCGCUAUUCUGGGUGCAAAGAGCACAGGAGGGAACAAACAGGUCCUUCGCUCUCAAGGAGCCUCACAUGCGUCUGGAGGAGACAGGCUAUACGCUAAGAAACAGAUCUGAUAAUUCCAGAUGAGAAAACCGAGGCUCAACAGGUGAAAUCCCUGGCCAAGUUCACUUGGGGAGAAGGGCGUGACCUAUGUCUUCAAAGACCAAGAUGGCGGCUAGAGCGCCAACCGUUAUACCUAUGGGAGCUGUAGGUCCAGAGAAGGUACUUAAAGCUUUGCAAUUGAUGAGCCUGACAAGCAAAUGGUUCUGCUGGAGAAGAGAAGCCCUAAGACUGAGCUCCAGGGCUCCCACAACAGCAGAAGAGAAGGAACAAGCAACAGCUCCUGAGUUUCUGGACUUCUCCCAGCCUCCAGACUUCUAAACCCAACUGUAUGCCUAACGUCUCCACUUGGAUGUCUAAGAGACACCUGAGAAUUAACAUGUCCAAACUCAAAUUCUGCUCUGUUUCCCAAAUCUGCUCCUGCUAUCACCUUCCUCAAUGGCAGAUCAUGGCAGCACCAUCCUUCUAAGUAUUCAGGCCAAAAACUCGGGGCCAUACUUGACUCCUUUAUUUCUCUCACAACAUACGUUCAGUUCAUCAGAAAAUCCUGUGGUUCUACCUUCCAAGGACACCCCAGCAUCUGAUUACUUCACCAUGCCUGCUGUUGCCCUGAUCUGAGCCACCAUCACCUCUCACCUGAUGCCUCAUUCUGCUCUCCCUGCUUCUACCCUCUCCCCCUUGGUCUGACUCAUAAGGCAAAUGACUUAGAAGUCUGCAGUGCCUUUCUAUUUCAAUUGGAGUAAAAGUCAUAUUCCUCACCAUGGGCUCUAGGCCCUUCGUGAUCUGAUCUCAGUGACCUUGUACACCAUCCUUUACGUCCUUCCACCCAGUCACUCCCUCCACUCCAGCCAUGUUGGCCUCCUGGCAUGAACAGACCAGGCACAUCCCACCUCAGGGCCUUUGCACCUGCCGUCUGCUUCAGGUUUUUACUUAAAUGUCACCUUCCCUGACUACUCUGUUUAAAAUGGUAACCCCGUCACCGAUAUUCCCUACUUUCCUCUGUCUAUGCUGUUCUUUCUUUGUCCAAAGUGCGUGUCCCAUCUAAUAUAUACCAUUCUCUCUCUCUUUUUUAUCUUAUUGUCUGCCUUCCUCUACCGGAAAGUAAGUUUCACAAAGGCAGAGAUUUUUGCUGCUGUGUUAGAAUGUUACAACCAUGCUGAGCACAAAGUAAACACUCAAUAUAAAUGUAUUUAAAGAGUGAGGAAAGGGAUGGAGCAAUGAAUAAGUGAAGGAAUUGCUCUCCCUGCCCAGGAGGGUUGGGCUGCCCGGAGAGGGCAGUAAAACAGGGGUGAUGAUGACCACCAUUGUGUCGCGAUGUACCCGGCCCUGUGCCAGCUGCCAGGUGUGGCCUGGUGGAAGCAGACACCUAAGCUGACAUUCACAGAAGCGGCUGGUAAAUGAGAGGACGGAGGGAAGCCCAGGGGCCUGUGGGAGCCCAGAGGCGCUUCCAUGAGGUGGUGACAUCUGAGCCCUGUCUGAAGCCACACCUUGCCAAUCAAAAAAUUUGAUUUUUAAUAUUAUAUACUGAAAUUUAUCAAUAUUUGAAAGAUCUGCAUGACUCAGUGAACCCCUUUUUCUCCCAAAUGGCCAAUGUAUGCUUUUACAAAAUCAUCCAUGGUAAAAGAUACAAAGUGCAAAAGAGACCAAUGGAUUUUAAUGUAACUGAGUAAGAAAAUCUCAUUGAUAUGGUUUGAUUUUUUUUUUUAUUUGGUUGCACUGGGUCUUAUUUGUGGCAGGUGGAUUCCUUAGUUGC